AAGAAGAGGAAGACAAGGAAGAAGAAGAGAAGGGGCAGGGAGAAGUGGAAGAGAGGGUAAGGAGAAGAAGAAGCAGCUACCUUCACCAGAGAACAAGUUAGUCCUGUCUCUAGCAUGUGAAGAUACAAUGAGAAGUCAUCAGUCUGCACAUUCACAGAGGGCCCUCAUCAGAAUCUGACCAUGCUGGCACCCUAAUUUCAGAUGUCCGUCCUCCAGAACUGUGGAAGACACUGUAACAUGAUCGGGUAAAAGAGAAGCACAGUUAAAGGAAUCAAUAUUAAGAGCAGUCUUCUUGAAAGGUGUAAAUACAUAUUAUUCGCCUUUCUUGGUUGAAAUGCAUAUAUCCAGGUCCCUCCUCAUUCCAGAGAAAUAAAACUCCAUGAAGGAACGCAAGGGAAUGAUGUGGUAGAACACUCCUACCACAGCCUCAAGUAACAGAGGAUAAAUACAAUGUUCAUGUGAUCAUGAAAUAAUAGGACAAAAUGUCAAGUCUCGGAGGAUUUCAGAAAAACACACACACAGGGUGUCUCGACCUUAACUACUUCACAAGGCUGCUGCAUCCAUACUAGAAACAACUGCCUGAGAAUUUUAUGUGUCACAGGAAAGAAAUCAAAGGAGUGGGGGAAAACCGGUUUUCCUUCCCUACAUGAGAAAAGCAGUUCUUCUGUGACUUGUGAUUAAAGCCUUCCUGCCUGAUAUCACACCCAAAUAAAGGAAACCCUGAGGUGGAAAAAGAAUGGGGUAUGACAUCAGUGUUGCAGUACUGUUCUGAAGAAAGCAAGGGUAACAUGAAUUGUAAACGCUAUAGCUUCUGAAAAAUCUUCUGUAUGAAUUAAAUUGACAAGUUAUAUAAAAAUGGGUUAAUGCUGACA
Suricata suricatta (meerkat) is the source of this 872-nucleotide long non-coding RNA. RefSeq lists it as uncharacterized. The record is from RefSeq and is a predicted model, not a curated record. NCBI's taxonomy places the organism in Eukaryota, Metazoa, Chordata, Mammalia, Carnivora, Herpestidae. The transcript has 5 exons.